UGCUCGCCUCCUCGGUACGGCCAAGGAAACGACGGCCGCGGAACCGCCAUUAAAGCUCCACCUCCACACCUCUCGGACGCGAGCUGGAUAGGGAUGGGGAGGGGGAAGAUAGUGAUCAGGAGGAUCGACAACACGACGAGCCGGCAGGUGACUUUCUCGAAGCGGAGGAAUGGAUUGCUGAAGAAGGCGAAGGAGCUCUCGAUCCUGUGCGACGCCGAGGUCGGGGUCGUCGUCUUCUCCAGCACCGGCAAGCUCUACGACUUCGCCAGCUCCAGCGUGAACCAGGUAAUUGAAAGGUAUGGCAAAUUAAAAGAAGAGAUCGAUCAACCUGGGAACCCGAUGGCUGAACUUAAGUAUUGGCAAAGGGAAGCAGCAAUAUUGAGGCAACAACUGCAGCAACUCCGAGAAAAUCAUCGGCAAAUGAUGGGAGAAGAACUCUCAGGCUUGGGCAUCAAAGAUUUGCGGAAUUUGGAGAACCAAUUGGAGAUAAGUCUCCGUGGCGUCCGCACAAAAAAGGACCAAGUUUUAAUGGAAGAAAUACAAGAGCUGAACAGAAAGGGAAACCUCCUUCACCAGGAAAAUUUGGAAUUGCACAAGAAAGAAAGUCUAUUUAAACAAGAGAAUGUGGAAUUGUACAAGAAGGUUUAUGGCACAAGAGAUGCAAAUAACGUAAAUGGAGCACGCACAAGUCUUCUACCAAAUGGACCGAACAUUGAUGAAGAUGCUCAAGUACCUAUCCAUCUCCAACUAAGCCAGCCGCAUUAUCAGAACUGUGAGACAUCAUCAAGAACUACAAACUUACGAUUGCAGCUGCAUUAGCAAACCGGGUGCAACGAAUGUAGAAGGACAUUAUUGAGUCUCCAUCGAGGGACCAUGCAAACAAAGGACAACUGGGAAGAUGCUAGAGACUCUGAACGUACUAUCCAACUGGAGAUGAAGCACAUGCCUCAACUAAAAUAGCUAAUGACCCAACUGCAAUCCAGAUGGAUAACUUUAAAGUUGAUGUAAUCUAACAGGUGUAGUGGAUGUUUCUGGGUUGAAUAUUAAACUUCGAUCUCAGAAACAAAAUGAAAUCAACAAUCUACACCAGAAUUGUGCGAA
RNA transcript from Syzygium oleosum, 1101 nucleotides. It is a transcript of the gene named MADS-box transcription factor 23-like, with no coding region annotated. Lineage: Eukaryota; Viridiplantae; Streptophyta; Magnoliopsida; Myrtales; Myrtaceae. The record is from RefSeq and is a predicted model, not a curated record. The transcript has 10 exons.